AACGAAGCAAAACAAUCAUUG
Molecule: unclassified non-coding RNA, 21 nt
Filed under: Dictyostelium discoideum
Lineage: Eukaryota; Evosea; Eumycetozoa; Dictyosteliales; Dictyosteliaceae
Source: RNAcentral